CACAUCCUUCGUCCCUCUCCUCCCCCCUCCCCAACCCUCCACGUCGCCACCCCCAAGCUUUCCCCUCGAAUCAGUCAAAAUUGAGGAGAUGAGGUGACUCAAUUUGCUCAAAAAACAGCAGAAAACUCUGAAAAGAGGUACAGGGGAAGUUGCUCAUGGAUGGAGGGAGAGAUCAAAGAGGAGAGAGCACUCACCAGGCUAAUUUCGAUGCAUAUGGAGCUUAUCUUGUUGGUUCUCAGGGCACCCAAAAAGCCAGCAACAACAAUGGUUAACUUCUGCUUCUGUCAGUCAAAUGCCAUAUCAUGCAAACCCCUGGAUGCAACAUGCAGGAGUUGCUAUUGCUGAUGACAAUACAAUGCAUAUGUCUCUCUUUGGUAGCUACAAUAAUGUCGACAGCACAGAGGUGAGCUUACAUACAAACCUGGGAGAGGGGGGGGGGACACUUCAAGUGGCAAGUCCACUCAAAUGCCUCCACCACUCCAACACCCUGUAAAGACCGUGGUGCAUGAUGCCCCCAUGUCGUAUAUGCAGCUGCUCCUUGCUGCUGAACAAGAGGUCAUUUACCCUCCCCCCUAACAGACUUGUCAUAUAUGUUGAUGUAUACAAAUAAAAAUGUAUUCUUUCAACAUAGAAUCCUAGAAAAAAAUAUUAGUAAAAUGUAUUCUUCCAAUGAUAUAUACAAUGUGCAAAGAAUUAACUACUGUUGUGAGCAGUAAAAAAUAAAUACAAAAUAAGUAGACAACCCAAGUUGCGAGUCGAGGGCCUAUUCGCAAAGCAUCCACCAUCGAGUAGACAACCCAAGUUGCGAGUCAAAUGGUCUAAUUGCAAGUGGCAUGCGGGCAACCACAACUGUGAGUCGAUGGUGGACAUGCAACUAGGGAAAUUUCAAAAGUAAAAAAAUAGACCAGUUGCGAGUCGAGGCUCUAUUUGCAAGUGGCAUGCGAGCACCCACAGUUACUAGUCGAUGGUGGACUUGCAACUAAGGCAAUUACAAACUACAAAAAAAGCCAGAGUUAGAAGUCAAUGGUCGAGUUGCAAGUGGCAUCGAGUAAACAACCCUAGUUGCGAGU
Molecule: long non-coding RNA, 1070 nt
Organism: Triticum aestivum (bread wheat)
Lineage: Eukaryota; Viridiplantae; Streptophyta; Magnoliopsida; Poales; Poaceae
Exons: 5
Source: RefSeq, a predicted model, not a curated record